RNAcentral lists this ribosomal RNA (1650 nucleotides) under human gut metagenome. RNAcentral's name for it is "bacterial LSU rRNA". It matches the Rfam family "Bacterial large subunit ribosomal RNA", at positions 1106 to 2290 of the family's 2925-position model. The record is from RNAcentral.
UUGGAAGCAGCCAUUCAUUUAAAGAGUGCGUAACAGCUCACUAGUCGAGGAGUUUUGCAUGGAUAAUAAUCGGGCAUAAGCCCUUUACCGAAGCUGUGGAUGUCGUAAGACAUGGUAGGGGAGCAUUCCGGCGGCGACGAAGGCCGUCCUCGAGGACGACUGGAGCUUUCGGAAAAGCAAAUGUAGGUAUAAGUAACGAUAAAGGGGGCGCGAAACCCCCUCGCCAUAAGACUAAGGAUUCCUGAUCAACGCUAAUCGGAUCAGGGUAAGUCGGGCCCUAAGGCGCAGCCGAACGGCGUAGCCGAUGGAAGAAACGGUAAAGAUUCCGUUACUGGAUAUAGGAGCGAUGUGGAGACGGAGAAGUGACACACCCGCCUGCCGACGGAAGCGCAGGUUAAAGGAAGUAGGUAAACGCCGGGUAGGCAAAUCCGCCUGGCGUGCCGAAGCUGACAGUAUCGAGAGCCCCCGGGCAAUCGAAUAGCGGUGGUAAUCAGGCUCCCAAGAAAAUCCGCUAAGCAUAUUCUAUAUCCACCCGUACCCCAAACGGACACACGUAGUCGGGUAGAAUAUACCAAGGCGCUCGAAAGACUCACGGUUAAGGAACUAGGCAAAUUGACCCUGUAACCUCGGGAAAAAGGGUCCCCAGUAAGAUGGGGCGCAGAGAAUAGGUCCAGGCAACUGUUUAACAAAAACACAGGGCUGUGCGAAAUUUCAAGAUGAAGUAUACAGCCUGACACCUGCCCGGUGCCGGAAGGUUAAGAGGAGAGCUAAUCGCAAGAGAAGGCUUGAAUUGAAGCCCCGGUAAACGGCGGCCGUAACUAUAACGGUCCUAAGGUAGCGAAAUUCCUUGUCGGGUAAGUUCCGACCUGCACGAAUGGUGUAAUGAUCUGGACACUGUCUCAACCGUGACUUCGGUGAAAUUGUAGUAUCGGUGAAGAUGCCGAUUACCCGCAACGGGACGAAAAGACCCCGUGAACCUUUACUGCAACUUAGCAUUGCGUUUGGGCAUUUGAUGUGUAGGAUAGUCCGGAGGCUACGAGCCGGCGACGCCAGUCGUCGGGGAGCCGUUGUUGAAAUACGGACCUUCGAAUGUUUGAGCGCUAACUCGCAGGUAUAAAGUUGUUUUCUAUAUAAACAAAAUUUAUAUUUGCACUAUAAAGUUAACGCAAAACAAUGAUAACGCCAAAAUAAAAGGGCAAUAAAGUUAACAAAAUAGAUUAUUUACUCUAAAUCAAAUAAGAAUAUGACACUAAAAGAGUUUGAAGAAAGAACAGGAAAGCCAAUCUCGGCAGAAACGUAUGAUGCCAUCGAAAAGAUGUACAUGAAUACUGAACUUGACAAAGAUGAGUUUUGCAAAUUGUAUAUGAAAGCUCCAGGAGCACUUGCUGAGAUUGAAAAGCAAACGGUAUUAGUUCGUGAAUUAUUUGAGGAAAAAAAAUGCAUGGCUGAUUUCUUGAUUGAGCAGGCUGAGAAAUGGAGUGCAUCAGACCUUAGAGAGAAAGCAAUCAGAAUGAUCGGUGAGAGAGAAUAUCUGCGUAGGAAAAUAGAGAGGGGAUUCAACCUUUGGGAAGUAGAUAAAGUACUUCUAGUAGAACUAUUAAAAGCAUAAACAUGAAAGUAAGAAUCAAGAAUGUAACUGGCUCAACAUCC